CCAGGGUAAGGGGUUAGCAGGCCUUGCAGGCCCAAGAAGAGCAGUCUGCCAUCUUCCCUGAGGGCUGAAAGGACAGGACCACCAGAUGGCUAACGGAGAGACCCCCACAAGCAUGCACAACCAGAGCCCGCCACCUCCUCCUCCCUCGGCAGCUGAGCCCUGAGCUGGCCUAAAGGGGAGGGGCAGCUGGUGGCUCCCGGGGCACUGAGGAAGGAGAGGAUGCCACCUCUCCUUCAGGGUCAAAUCCUAAGCCAAGUUUUUAAAACCCCCAAAGCCCGCUGGUUUUUGAAUAUACCCUCCAAAACCUCUAACCCCCUGAAAUUUCUAUACCAGAGGGCUAGGCCCUGGAGCUGGAGGGAGAAGGUACCCCGCAGCCCUAGGAGAGGAAGGAGGGAGCACUGCACAAGUUCGACCGGCCACAACAAGGUAAGGGCCCUGUAAGUAGGUUUUUCUAGGCAAGGAAAGGGUGGAGACACCCCUCUGUGGGGUAUUCUCCGCUCUGUUUCAUUGAUGAAACAGAGGGGAGGAGACCGGCACAGAGGGAAGAGGAAACCGGCACGGGAGAGACAGGAGGAGGGCCACUGCGGCCGGACCCAUGGGCUGCGGGCCGGACCCACAGGCCGCGGGCCGGCCUGAGAACGGCCCAAGCCGAGCCCAACGCCACUCGGGCCGAGCCCAGCCGGACUCGGCCUGCGGGUGACAGGCCCCGGCCGUGGCUGCCCUAGGGCUGAGGGGCAGCCAAGGGCCGCCGGGUCUGCCGUGCCGACGACCGACGCGGCCUCAAGGCUGCCAGCCUCAGCCAAGCCCCACCUCUCCGCCGGCCGAGAGGUGGUGGCACGGUAUCCACAAAGAAAAAGGGGGAAAAAGGGAGAGGAAGAAAUCGGAAGAGGAAGAAGAACAAAAAAAGGAAAAAAAAGAAAAGGGGGAGAACAAGUACUUACCUCGGACCACGGCCUUACCUCGCCAUGGUCGGAGCCGGUGAGGUCCUCCCGGAGCAGAUCGGCCUCGAUCCCACCUCCCGGCUCUUCUCCUCUCCUCCGGCAUCACUUCGGAGAAGGGGGAAAGAGCCGGCCUCCCACCGCCGCCGCCCCGAAAGGGGAGCACCACUCCGGCCGGUGGAUAGGGAGCUUCGUCUCCCCGGUCGCCUGCGAGAGGAGGGGGAGAACCGGAAGGCGGCGAGGGAAGAAGAAGGGCACCAGAAGAGGAGGAGGCCGGGGAGGGUUUCGGCUGGAGCAGGUGGGUUUCGGUGGAGACGAAGGGAGAACGAGGAAGACGAGGGAAACCGAAGGAGAGAGAAAGCCACGGGUGGAAAGGGGCCGAAGCCUCUGGAAGCUCCCGGUAGAAGAAAAAAGAAAGAAAAAGAGAGAGAGAGAGAGAGAGGCUUUAACGGGCUGCCUAGCGGAUCGGAUCCGAGUCCGGAUCCGAAACCCGUUAGGCCCAAAUGAUUCAAAUCGAUUUGGGUGAGCCCAAUGUAGGGUUGAUCCAAGCCCAAUCAAAUUAAACGGGUCAAUUAUGCCUAAUUGAUGUUGGGUCUGAACCCGACCAAGCCUGAAUGAACCCAAGUUAGGCAAAUUGAGCUAGACUUGAAUCCAAUUAAACUCAAUUCAGCUGGGUCCGAACCAUGUUCAUAACAGGUUGACCUCAGCAGGCCCAAUUAGCCCUAAAUCAGGCCCAAUUAAAUUAGCAGAAGGCCAAAUUGGCUAGGAAAAGAGGACUUAACCACAAAUCAGGCCCAACCUUUCCCUUAGAGGCCCAACUAGGCCUGAAGACUCAAAUUUACUUCAAUUGGGCUAAAAUUUAUGAUGAAUAGAGGAUAAUGUGAGUCUUAUAAUAUGAUUCUAGGAAUUAAAGACUCGUCGACCGGACUCAAAGAAUUAAUAACAACUUAUAGUAAGUAACCUGUUCUUAUCCUACUUUGGAUCAUGUCAUGUCAUUAAUAUUUUUCUAAGUGUUAUUCAAGUACAUACUUCAUGAAUAUUAUGUUUUGAUUAGUAAGUAACUUGCCUAAUUUAUAAUUUAUGGCCACAUAUGCAUUACGAUUAUGUUGAUAUUUUAAAUCAUGCAUGCAAGUUAGUACAGUAAAAUUUCUAUUUAGCCGAAGGGCACUAUAGAUGAACUCAAAGAUGCUACCGAUCGAAUGCAACUGAGCUGGCCUUGCUUGUGGCCGAGAAUGACUGAGCCUGCCCCGCCAGUGGCUGAAUAAUAACUGAGCUGGCCCCGCCAGUGGCCGAGACCGACUUCGCAGUAGCAUCCGAGAGAAUGGACCACGGCAUGCCGGGGGCACGGUUUCAUAUGCAUACUUUAUGAAAAUAUUUGUCUGAUUCAAAAUACUAUUUUGUUUACCCAGCAUACAUAUUUUGCCAUGAUAAAUUGUUAGAUAAUAUGCAUGUCAGCUUCUCAAACCCUGAUAAACAUGUUUAGUUUUUUUAGUUGAUCCGAUAAGAUUAUGCAGGAAUACUUACUGAGCCGUGUAGCUCAUGUCUGUUUAUUUCUCAUUUUCUUUCAGAUCCUCACCCGUGAUCGCCAUUAGAUAUAUUUUUAUUUUGUUACAGAGCUUCGUUAUUUUUGGAGAAGCUUAUAUACUUUUGUAUAUUUGAACAGCAUAGAAGUUCUGUAUUUUUGGUAUCAAUCUUCAAGGUUGUAAUGCAAAUAUUUUAAUAUAUGAAAGUUUAAAAUCUAUUGGCUACCUGUUACCCCUGUACGAGACUGCGUGCUAUUGUGGGCGGUAGUCGGCAAUAGUACGGCCGUGUCACGGAUCCGGAUCCGGGGCGUGACAUAUUGUGGUAUCAGAGCCUUAGGUUAAACAAUAGAAUAACCAUAGAAUGCCUGAGGAAAGGGUAGUUAAGAAUGUCAUCGUCAUAGAAAAUAUUAUAGUAUGCUAGUGUAUCAUAAUCUCACUUUAAAAAUUUUGACUGCUAGGCGAUCAUUUGAAAGACAUGGACGACGGCAGGAGACCACCCUCCCCGGAGCCCAGCGAGCAGUCAGUUCCCCCGGAUACUCCACGGUCUGCAACAGGUCAGGCAGGCCUAGCCGGAGUAUAUCAGCUCAUGGCACAAGUGCUGCAACAGCAACAGAUGAUGCAGCUGGCCGCUAUGCCAUCGGCAGACUCCUGCUACGAGAGGUUCCACCGACUGAACCCCCCAACCUUUGAGGGUGGGCCUGACCCCAUGGAGGCAGAAACAUGGAUCCGGGAGAUGGAGAAGAUGUUCCGAGCCCUCCACUUUCCCAAUGAGGUGACAGUCCGACUGGCGAUCUCUAUGCUGACAGGGAACGCCGAGUACUAGUAGACGGCCAUGGAGACGGCUUAUGCCGUUGACGGACUCACCUGGAGGGACUUCAAGAGGCUGUUUUACAACCAAUAUUUUCCGGACUCAGUCCACCAGGCAAAGCAGAAUGAAUUCUUGACGCUGACCCAGACCGACCAGAUGUCCGUUCUGGAGUACGCCAAUAAAUUCAAUGAGCUGGGACGAUUUUGCCCCUAGUUCAUGGAGGAGGAGAGAAGUAAGGUAAACAGGUUCGAGCAGGGAUUGAGGUACGGAAUUCGGUCCCGAAUAUCCUCCCAUCUGUUCUCGAGCUACCGGGAUGUACUGGAUCGAGCCUUGAAGGUUGAGGCUGAUUUGAUGCAGUCCGGGAGAGAGAGGGAGGACUUGAAGAGGACCCGAUCGUCGGGAGCACAGAGUAGCGGGUCUGGUGGCAGCAAGAGGUCUGUGCCCAGGAAGAAACAGGGCAGAAGCUGCCCCACCUGUGGCGGAAACCACAAUGGUACCUGCUUGAAGAAGACCGGGGGUUGUUUUUCUUGUGGGCAGACAGGACACAUCGCCCGCGACUGCCCGAGUCGGAAGAAGGACGAGCCCAGACAUACUGCAUCGGAGGACCAGGGAUCGAGGGGUAACCCUCGGAUUUUCGCACUAACUCGACAGGAUGCCAGUGCUAGCGAUCAGGUGGUGACAGGUACACUUCUGGUCAACUCAGCCCCUGCCCUCACUCUAUUUGAUUCUGGUUCUACGCAUUCUUUCGUGUCAGUUAGCUUUUCCAGACAAUUACAUAGUAUACCUGAGAAAUUAGUGGAACCAUGGCAUGUUGCUACACCCCUUCAGAAAACUAUAAUUGUUGACACGAAAUAUAGAGACUGCAUAACUCAGAUAGGGGAAAGAGAGUUAGAGACAAACCUUCUGUAGCUUGACAUGCAAGAUUUCGAUAUUAUUUUGGGCAUGGAUUGGAUAUCUUAGUACCACACUCAUAUUGACUGUUAUCAUAAAAGGGUGGUAUUUCGGAUGCCUGGGGAGCAAGAAUUUUUCUUUCAGGGCGACAUACCCCUUCAGGGUGCUCCCACACUGCACUUCAUUUCCGCUUUGAAAGCUGGAAAGGCUCUGAAAAAGGGGUGUAUGGCCUAUCUGGCCUGUGUAACGGAUACUCAGAAAGAGAUCAAACUGGAAGACAUUCCAGUAGUCAGAGAAUAUCCGGAUGUCUUUCCGGAGGAAUUACCGAGGUUACCCCCCAGACCGAGAGAUCGAAUUUGCUAUCGACCUCGCACCAGGAGAGGGGCCAGUCUCUAAGGCUCCUUAUCGGAUGGCCCCUGCUGAGUUAAGGGAAUUGAAGAUACAACUACAAGAACUCCUGGACAAAAAGUUCAUCCAGCCCAGUGCAUCGCCAUGGGGAGCUCCUGUCCUGUUUGUGAAAAAGAAAGAUGGGAGUAUGCGGCUAUGCAUCGAUUACCGGGAAUUGAACAAGAUAACCAUAAAGAACAAAUAUCCCCUACCCCGGAUCGAUGACCUGUUUGAUCAGCUGCAGGGCGCCCAGGUCUUCUCCAAGAUAGAUUUGCGGUCAGGUUACCAUCAGUUGAAGAUUAAAGCUGAUGAUGUGCCAAAAACGGCAUUUCGAACCAGGUAUGGGCACUAUGAAUUUCUGGUUAUGCCUUUUGGACUGACCAAUGCUCCGGCUGCAUUUAUGGACUUGAUGAAUAGAGUCUUUAGGCAAUAUUUGGAUCAGUUUGUGAUAGUUUUUAUCGACGACAUUCUAAUCUACUCAAAGAGCAAAAAGGAGCACGAAGACCAUUUGAGGAUGGUGCUACAAACCCUUCGAGAGAAAAGGCUGUACGCCAAGCUGAACAAAUGUGAGUUCUGGCUGGAUAGUGUGGCGUUUCUCGGCCAUGUGGUCUCCAAGGAAGGAGUGUCAGUGGACCCCAAGAAGAUAGAAGCGGUGGUAGAUUGGCCUCGUCCUACCAACGCCAAAGAAAUUAGAAGCUUCUUGGGAUUAGCUGGGUAUUACCGGCGAUUUGUAGAAGGAUUCUCCAAAAUAGCCACUCCCUUGACCCAUUUGACUAAGAAACGGGCCAAGUUUAUCUAGGACGACAAGUAUGAGAGAAGCUUUCAGGAGCUUAAACAAAGGUUAGUUUCUGCCCCAAUUUUAACAUUGCCGUCCUUAACUGAAGAAUUUACCAUCUACAGUGAUGCUUCCAAGAACGGGCUAGGCUGUGUGCUGAUGCAAGAUGGCAAGGUGGUAGCCUAUGCCUCGAGACAGCUGAAACCCUAGGAACAGAAUUACCCGACACAUGACCUGGAGUUGGCCGCAGUGGUGUUCGCCUUGAAACUUUGGAGACAUUAUUUGUAUGGCGAACACUGUGAGGUGUACACCGACCACAAGAGCCUAAAGUAUAUAUUCACCCAGAAGAAAUUGAAUAUGAGGCAAAGAAGGUGGUUGGAACUCCUGAAGGAUUAUGACCUGAGUAUUAAGUACCACCCAGGAAAGGCCAACGUGGUGGCUGAUGCCCUAAGCAGAAAGUCAGUAGUGGGUUCCGCCGCAUUACUCACCACUCAACCACAGAUUCAGAAGGAUCUCGAUAAACUGCAGGUUGAGGUGGUUACCCGAACUACAAGAAGUCUGCUGGCCACUUUGAAUAUACAACCAACAUUGAUCGACAGAAUAAAAGUUGCCCAGCAGUCUGAUCAGCAUACCUGUCAGCUCAAGAAUGAAGUGGAGAAGGGGUUACGACCCGAACUCCAAACCCACCCAGAUGGCACCCUGAGGUUUGGCCACCGAUUGUGUGUUCCGACAGAUGUUGACCUAAAGAGGAAAAUCAUGGAAGAGGCCCACCAAUCCCGUUUCUCUAUUCACCCGGGCAGCACUAAAAUGUACCGGGACCUUCGGGAACAUUACUGGUGGAAGGGAAUGAAGAGAGAAAUAGCUGAGUUUGUGGCCCGAUGUUUGACCUGCCAGCUAGUAAAAGCAGAGCACCAGAGGCUAGCAGGGUUACUAGAACCAAUAGAAAUCCCAGAAUGGAAAUGGGAGCACAUCACGAUGGAUUUUGUUACAGGACUCCCCAAAACGGUGAGAAAGAAUGAUGCAGUGUGGGUGAUUGUUGACCGCCUCACAAAAUCGGCUCAUUUCCUACCUUUCAGAAUUGGAACCCCUUUGGACAAGCUGGCCCAAUUAUACAUCGACGAGAUUGUACGCCUGCACGGAGUACCAGUGAGCAUCAUUUCUGAUCGCGACCCCCGAUUCGUAUCCAGAUUCUGGAAAAGCUUUCAGAAGGCUAUGGGUACCGGAUUGAGGCUCAGUACAGCAUACCACCCCCAGACUGACAGCCAGUCAGAGCGGACAAUCCAAACUCUGGAAGACAUGUUGAGGGCAUGCACGGUGGACCUAGGUGGAAAUUGGGAUAGUCAUAUACCACUGGUGGAAUUUGCUUAUAACAAUAGUUACCAUUCCAGCAUCCAGAUGGCCCCAUACGAAGCCCUCUAUGGGAGAAAAUGCCGAUCCCCCUUACAUUGGGAUGAUGUCGGGGAGCGGAAAAUGUUGGGCCCCGAACUGGUCCAGCACACUAGAGAUAAAGUACUCUUAAUUAAGCAAAGGCUUCAGGCUGCCCAAGACAGACAGAAAAGAUGGGCUGACAAAGGAAGAAGGGCCUUGGAAUUUUUGGAGGGAAACUUUGUCUUCCUAAAAAUUUCUCCAUCGAAGGGUAUUACCCGAUUCGGGAGACACGGCAAGUUAAGUCCUCGCUACAUCGGCCCAUUCGAGAUUCUCGCCAGAAUAGGCAAGGUUGCCUACAAGUUGGCCCUACCCCCAGAGCUAUCAGGUGUGCACGACGUCUUCCAUGUCUCUCUGCUACGGAGAUAUGUCCCGGAUCCCAGCCAUGUGGUGCCACAUGAGCCUCUGCAAAUAAAUAAAGAUUUAACCUAUGAGGAGGCUCCCCUGCGCAUCAUAGACAGGAAAGAGCAAAUCCUCCAAAGGCGCACCAUCCCCUACGUUAAAGUCCAGUGGACCAACCACGCUGAAAGGGAAGCUACCUGGGAAUUGGAGGAAGAGAUGCGACAAUGCCACCCUCAGCUCUUCGAGAACCGAGGUAUGUUUAAUUUCGAGGACGAAAUUUAUUUAAGGAGGGAAGGAUGUAAUGUCCGGGCCCAAUACAGACCGGGCCCAAUACUGUAGGGCCCCGUUGAAGGGUAUUGGGCCAGGGUAAGGGGUUAGCAGGCCUUGCAGGCCCAAGGAGAGCAGUCUGCCAUCUUCCCUGAGGGCUGAAAGGACAGGACCACCAGAUGGCUAAUGGAGAGACCCCCACAGGCAUGCACAACCAGAGCCCGCCACCUCCUCCUCCCUCGGCAGCUGAGCCCUGAGCUGGCCUAAAGGGGAGGGGCAGCUGGUGGCUCCCGGGGCACUGAGGAAGGAGAGGAUGCCACCUCUCCUUCAGGGUCAAAUCCUAAGCCAAGUUUUUAAACCCCCAAAGCCCGCUGGUUUUUGAAUAUACCCUCCUAAACCUCUAACCCCCUGAAAUUUCUAUACCAGAGGGCUAGG
Molecule: long non-coding RNA, 7791 nt
Filed under: Phoenix dactylifera (date palm)
Lineage: Eukaryota; Viridiplantae; Streptophyta; Magnoliopsida; Arecales; Arecaceae
Description: long non-coding RNA (PDAC_LNC009622)
Source: RNAcentral